Molecule: long non-coding RNA, 2169 nt
Filed under: Homo sapiens (human)
Lineage: Eukaryota; Metazoa; Chordata; Mammalia; Primates; Hominidae
Description: HSALNT0081022
Source: RNAcentral
GCAGGAUGGCAGCAGCAGACACACAGGGUGGUUAAGAACAACAAACACAGGCAAACCACUUCAAUAGAACAUGGCUGGCGGCCAUAUGGACAUAUUUGAAUCCAACAAUUAAUUCAGCAAAGAAAGCUGCUUGUGGCAAGUUUUGAAUGUGCCAUUCCAGGUAGUGCUUUGAUGAUAAAUGAGGAGAAGAUUGCAAAGAAAAUGACAGCAACAUUUAUAAAAGGAUUCCUCUUAGGACUCUAGAUGCACGGAGAGUGGCCAGAUUAAUACAGACUGGCAAAAGAAGAACUUGGCAAAGUGAUUUGAUCACACACUUCUCACCCUCACAUCUCCUGACAGUUCCCCUAAUCCCUGCCCCACUUCCCCGCCAUGGGCUUCCAUCAGGAAACUCCUUGAUAUCAUCUUCGAGAAGAAAACUGAGGCAUAGAACAUUUGGGAAUGAAUCUAAGACUACACAUCUAGAAUAGCAGAGUUACAGGAAUGCAGAUGUGAUUCCUAUGGAUGAGGGUAACCUAGAGGCUAGAAGAACAAUAGGACAGAAGAAGCCUGGGUCCCUGAACAACCUUGUGGAGCAUAGACACCUACGUGGCCUGGACUGCCAGCUCACAAUGGGCCUCUCUGUGAGAGAAGGAAACUUCCCUCUUGUUUAAGCAACUGUGCUUUUGAGAAUCUCUUGGUCUAUACCCUAAUGAAUAAGGCCAUCAUAAAUGGAUAUCAAAGUAAGGAAAUUUGUGUAAAUGAUUUAAUAAAACAUUACCUCAGGUAUGAAAUAAUUCUACCUUGUGCCUUGACAACAUCAGGUAUUAUUCAUGCCCUUUUCUCUCCCUGUAAUGUCUCUUAUCCACGGGUAGAAAUUAUAUUUUCCAUCUAAGGUUUGCUCAAAUAUUAUCUACUUAAGUAGCUCUUACCAAUUUUGCCUCUCCUCCUGAGCUGACCCUAUGCCUUCUAUGCUGUUCCAGGUAAUAUUAAUCUCUUCCUUUGUACUUCUUUCACAGAACAUACUUUUUUGUCUAACAUAAUAACUAUAGGCAUAAGUGUAUAGAUUCCACUAGGGGCUUCAGAACAGAAACUAUCAUCUUAUUAAUUUUUUUCUCCCUGAUAUCUAGGGAAAUAUGUUAUAUAUAAUAGGCCCUUAGUAAUCCCAUAAAUGUUUGUGAGAUAUUCACUGACUAUAAGCCAUACUCUGUAUUUAUUUAGCUAAAACAGACGUCUUUCAUAUUUAGUUAGCAGAAAAUGCUCACAUUUACUCCUUUCCUGUUUACCAAAUGAAAGGGUAAUUGUUUUUUCACAGAUUGCACUAGAAAAGUGUCUUCUCUCUCUUUUUCAAAUAGAUUGUCUUUAAAACAUAUGACAGGAAAAGUGACUAUUGUUAGGAUAAGAUAAUUACGAUUGUAACAGCUAGUUUAAAAGAAGUGUCAGUUGCUCCUGUUUUAUUUUUCACAGGAUAGAGCUGCGGCCUGUCUCAGUAUGAUGUUUUCAGGAUCUGGUAUAUAUUUUUAUUUUCCUACAUGAAUCUUUCAUCCUUUUACUGACAUUUAUUCAUUUUAUCUAAUUAUCCUAAAAGGAAAGCUCUGGCCAGGCAAAUUGGUUGUUGUCUGCCUCUGAAGAGACAUUCAUAUCGCGUCGCUUAGCUUUCAAGUUUUGUGAUCAGGAACCCUCAGGCCCAUUUUUAAGGAGGUUUCAGGCUAGCUGAGCUUCACUGUCUCCCAAAAUGUACAAAAUGAGAUUACAUGAGGGACAAGAUCAAUUUACUGGAAGGUACUUAAGCAGUAAAUCUGGAGCUUUUUGUCCAGUCACUAUUGCUUUCAAGCUUUGUAGCAGAAAAUUAAGCCACAAGAGCUUUGACAAAUUAGAUAUUACUACCUCUAAUUGUGUAUGUUUAAGCUUAUCACACUGAAUUGCAGCAUUGUAACUGACUAUUAUGCCAACAAGGCCUUCGUUUAAUCAGCGCAGUGCCAUUUAAUCGCAAUUAAUCACUCAACUAAAAUGUCAUAUUAAGGUCACAGAAACUUGAAGGGCUAAAAGAAAAGAGAACAUUAAAGUCAGCUGAUGGAGGAAAAGAGCAUGGUGUGCCAAGGGAAGUUCUGAGCACUCUUUUUCAUUAGAAGCUGGUAGAACAUUUAAUGAGAAUUCAGUCUUAACUUUCAGCUGAGAUCAGAACAACGUGCC